UAACCUAAUUUAUUCGAUUACAAUUCAAAUCCUAUACAACAUCAGUCUUCAUAUCUUCAAUUGUAUUUUUCAAUCUUCAAAAUUUCUUCGAUUAAACUCCAAAACCCUAUCUGUUCUUGAAUAAUCUCAUUUCUUUGCUUCUGGAAAUUUAUUCAAUUAAAUCGUUACCGGUGAAGAAUAAUAUCAACAUCGAUUUUUUCUUCCGCUGCUGAAGGAGCUACUUCUGGGUUUUCAGAGUCUACAGAAGGUAGUACAGAAAUUCAUAUGAUUAAAUAUUGAAAUUUUGAGACUUCUGGAUUCUAUCCUGUGAGGAGGCCAAAAUCAUCCAUUCCUCAUAAUGUGUAUGAUCACACCAUUCUGGUAAUAUCCAUAACUCCUGCUGUUUUGAAUUCUAGUAGUAAAAACAAUUGAAAGAAACUCGGAUUAGGUCUUGCAAUUGCUGGUCCAGGCUUGUUUUGCAUAGUACUAGUUGUAUUUGGUUUUAUCUUUGUUAAGAAAUUUAAAGAAUAGAGACCAGUUAAGAGUUUAAAGAUGGAAAUUUUCAAUGGUAAUAGAUAAUUUCGUUACAGCAAACUUCAGCAUGUUAUUAAAAGGUUUCAUUCGAGUCGAAUCGUUGGUCGUGGAGCAUUUGGAACUAUUUACUAAGCAGCUUUUCCUGAAUUAGGAAUGACUUCUGCAGUGAAAAUUCCUAGCAGAACAUUCUGUCUGAGACAUAAGAAUCUGGUUCAGCUUCAAAGAUGGUGUACUGAUAAGGGUGAAUUACUUCUUGUUUAUGGUUUUAUGUAAAUUGGUAGUACUCAUAGUCUUCGUUUAGAACCCAUUGCUCAGUUACAAAAUAUUGUCAAGAAGAAUCAAACACUAAUGAGAAAGAUAGCUCUUAAUUAUGUGGUUCAUUGCUGAAGAAAAGAAUGCAAACCAGGAAGAGAUUUCUUCAAAAGAUUCAUCAGAAGAGGAGGUAUGUCAAGUUCAUUUCUUCAAGUGCAAGAUGCAUUCUCAGUGGGUAGCCAUGAAUUACAACAACUAGUUGCAUGUGUACUUACUUCGCAGGGGUAGUUACUGAAGCAAUUGUAGACCAAAAUUUACUGCAACAACAACAUUGUCAACUGAUUCCACAAUAGCAGCAACAUCAUCAUCAAUUCAACAGCAAUAACAAAUUCCGGGUAAUAUCAACAUGCAUAUGGGUAAUAACUUUUUAAUAACAAUUUUUCCCAUUUGUUCAUUGUUACUUCUUUUUUAUAUGAGUUUAGCAUUUGAAGUAAUAAUUUUCCAUACCUAACUGGUCCUAAAAACAUUUUUCAAUAACCGGUUAUAUGACUUGUUACUUAAAAAGAAGUCAUAUCAAUACCUUUACAGAUCUGGUCUUACAAACACCAGUUUCUAAAUAUCAUUUUUUUUUGAGUCUCUUAACCAACAGAGAACACCAACAACAUUUUUGAGUCUCUUAACCAACAGAGAACACCAAAACAAUUACCGGAAGCUACUAUUUCUGCUGUUAUUCAACUUAUGUUGCUGUUAUUACUCAUUGUCCUGCUACUUCAAUAUUUUCUGGGGCAAUCUCUUCUCCUACUAUUUUUUGAUUGAAUUAUGCUAUCAAAAUUACUACUUCUGCAGCUAGUGCUCGUUUAUCGUUCCUGCAACUCAUGUUUAAUCUGUCUAUCCAACUGGUGCUACUUCUACUUUUUUCGGUUUGGGGUUCCAUGUCCUGUUGACUCUGGAUAUCUACUUCUUCAGAUGUCUGUUCUUUUCUGUUGUACAUGGUGAUUGGUGAGUGUGGUGCAUUUAAUAUGUUACACUUCACUGUUGCUAAGAUCACUUGAAGACUUUAGAAUUUUGUAUCACUUUUGCUUCUGCUCCUGACAAGACUCAUUAUGCUUCUAGAGAUGUUUCUGCUACUGCUGAUGUGCUUGCUGCCGCAGUGUGCAUUCGUUUUUCUUAUAUUUUCUCUCUUAUUGUGUUUCUGAUAGUUAAGGGAGUGAUUUUUCUUUUGUUUUUCUUGCACCAAACUGACAUUGUGAGGUGUGUUGUCAGUUUGAGGGAGUGAUUUGUUUUUCCUUUUUUUCUUUCUUUGAUCUCUUCAAACUGUUUCAGCGUCUGCCUGUAACGUUUGAGGGGGGUGUAUUAGGAAUAUAUGUCAAGGUCAUGUCCUGUUGACUUGACCAAGUCUAUGUGUACCAGGAUAGGGUAUAAAUACCCUUGUAUUGUAUUGUAUUGUGAAAGACACGAAAUAUAAUUCUGUAAUACCAAUUUACAUAUCUAAUAACAAUUCAUUGGUAUCUCA
Long non-coding RNA from Papaver somniferum (opium poppy), 2278 nucleotides. RefSeq lists it as uncharacterized. The record is from RefSeq and is a predicted model, not a curated record. Lineage: Eukaryota; Viridiplantae; Streptophyta; Magnoliopsida; Ranunculales; Papaveraceae. The transcript has 2 exons.